UAUAAUUUUUUGAAACUUUUUAAAGUUUCAAUUCUUUAAAAUAAAUAACCCUAGUAAACAAACCAUUUUAAUUUUGGACACCUCAUAAAUCAAGUUUCAUGCUCAUUCGUAAUCGAAAUCAUUUUGGUCCUUUUUAUAGUAUGGCUCUUAACCAUUAUCCAAUUUUUUUAAGCGAUGUUGGACAUUGUACAAUCGUAAUUAUUAUCCACCCAAACCCGUCCUACUAUAUAACCCAGUCCCGUGAAAUUAAACAUAAUUUUGUCAUUUUCUUAUAAAUUUCAAUAUUAUAAAAUUUGAAACUUA
This 303-nucleotide small RNA is filed under the name Arabidopsis thaliana (thale cress). RNAcentral describes it as "ATSL045720". Lineage: Eukaryota; Viridiplantae; Streptophyta; Magnoliopsida; Brassicales; Brassicaceae. The record is from RNAcentral.